Molecule: ribosomal RNA, 616 nt
Filed under: uncultured Legionella sp.
Lineage: Bacteria; Pseudomonadati; Pseudomonadota; Gammaproteobacteria; Legionellales; Legionellaceae
Description: bacterial SSU rRNA
Rfam family: Bacterial small subunit ribosomal RNA
Source: RNAcentral
UAGCUAGUUGGUAGGGUAAAGGCCUACCAAGGCGACGAUCGGUAGCUGGUCUGAGAGGAUGGCCAGCCACACUGGGACUGAGACACGGCCCAGACUCUUACGGGAGGCAGCAGUGGGGAAUAUUGGACAAUGGGGGCAACCCUGAUCCAGCAAUGCCGCGUGUGUGAAGAAGGCCUGAGGGUUGUAAGGCACUUUCAGUGGGGAGGAGGAUUGAUUGGUUAAGAGCUGAUUGAUUGGACGUUACCUACAGAAGAAGCACCGGCUAACUCCGUGCCAGCAGCCGCGGUAAUACGGAGGGUGCGAGCGUUAAUCGGAAUUACUGGGCGUAAAGGGUGCGUAGGUGGUUAGAUAAGUUAGCUGUGAAAUCCCCGGGCUCAACCUGGGCAGGUCAGCUAAGACUGUUUGACUCGAGUAUGGGAGAGGGUAGUGGAAUUUCCGGUGUAGCGGUGAAAUGCGUAGAGAUCGGAAGGAACACCAGUGGCGAAGGCGGCUACCUGGCCUAAUACUGACACUGAGGCACGAAAGCGUGGGGAGCAAACAGGAUUAGAUACCCUGGUAGUCCACGCCGUAAACGAUGUCAACUAGUUGUUGGCCUUAUGAAUGAGGUUAGUGACGA